Pogoniulus pusillus (Red-fronted tinkerbird) is the source of this 137-nucleotide small nucleolar RNA. The record is from RefSeq and is a predicted model, not a curated record. NCBI's taxonomy places the organism in Eukaryota, Metazoa, Chordata, Aves, Piciformes, Lybiidae.
UCGGCCCUCAAUCAAGGCCAGCAGCUUGCUGUAGCUGCUGGUUUCAAACAGGAGCCCAGAGGAAGCAGCUCCCUGGUGGUCUGUUGGUCCUCCUGGCUUCCUAAUGGGGGGAACCAAUUCGUGGGGGAGAGACACAA